AUGGAGGAGGGGGGCGGGGUGUGUCACUGUGUCAAAAUAAGAGUUUCCACACAGAGUCUGUGUUCCUGCCUCAAACUCUUGGUCUGGCCUGAGCCACCACGGACCAACGGCCAUUCUCUUGCACUUCCCCUUCACUCUCCCAAGGCUUCAGUUCCCUGCUGUUCGCUAGCUGUCAGGGGCAGAGGACCCUCCUUUUGCUGUGUCCUCAGAAGGUCACACUGUGUUACAAUGCCUGCACAUCACUCACCUCCACUCAUGGCAAAAGCAUUUUAUUAUCUCUCAGCAUCACAAAAAGGGGAUCCCAGAAAACUCUGA
Molecule: long non-coding RNA, 315 nt
Filed under: Mustela putorius furo (domestic ferret)
Lineage: Eukaryota; Metazoa; Chordata; Mammalia; Carnivora; Mustelidae
Description: lncRNA (ENSMPUG00000027202.1)
Source: RNAcentral